AACGAACGCUGGCGGCGCGCCUAACACAUGCAAGUCCCACGAGAAACCCUGUAGCAAUACGGGGCGGUAAAGUGGCGAACGGGUGAGCAAUGCGUGGGUAACCUACCUCCGAGAUUGGGAUAACCCGCCGAAAGGCGGGCUAAUACCGAAUAAGACCACAUGCCGACAGGCACGGGGGUAAAAGGUGGCCUAGGGUCCGCAAGGACUAUGCUGCCGCUUGAAG
Molecule: ribosomal RNA, 223 nt
Filed under: uncultured bacterium
Lineage: Bacteria
Description: partial 16S ribosomal RNA
Rfam family: Bacterial small subunit ribosomal RNA
Source: RNAcentral